UCGCUAAACAGUGGCGCAAUUGGUUAGCGCGCGGUACUUAUAAUGCCGAGGUUGUGAGUUCGAUCCUCACCUGGGGAA
RNAcentral lists this transfer RNA (78 nucleotides) under Trichonephila inaurata madagascariensis. Its description in RNAcentral is "tRNA-Ile". The stretch from base 9 to 73 matches the Rfam family "tRNA", at positions 5 to 66 of the family's 71-position model. From Rfam's summary of the family: Transfer RNA (tRNA) molecules are approximately 80 nucleotides in length. Their secondary structure includes four short double-helical elements and three loops (D, anti-codon, and T loops). Lineage: Eukaryota; Metazoa; Arthropoda; Arachnida; Araneae; Nephilidae. The record is from RNAcentral.